AAGUAAGAAACCAAAGAGAAUCUGCAGGCUCGUGUGGCCGGAUGACACUGCUGUGAUUGGAAGCACGUUUCAGACAUCAGGUCAACUUCAUCAAGCCCUGGGGGUAACCAACACCCCGAUCAGGAAGCAGAGCACUGCCUGCGCCCCAGGUACUCCCCUCGCGCUUUCAGCGUCACGCUCUGCCCCUCAAGUUUUCACCCAGGAAGCCUCACGUGGACUCGAGGACACUUUGGAGCUGUCGCCCGACCAUAAGGAC
This is a long non-coding RNA of Artibeus jamaicensis (Jamaican fruit-eating bat), 256 nucleotides long. RefSeq lists it as uncharacterized. The transcript is spliced from 3 exons. NCBI's taxonomy places the organism in Eukaryota, Metazoa, Chordata, Mammalia, Chiroptera, Phyllostomidae. The record is from RefSeq and is a predicted model, not a curated record.